This 236-nucleotide long non-coding RNA is filed under the name Monodelphis domestica (gray short-tailed opossum). RNAcentral describes it as "lncRNA (ENSMODG00000050086.1)". The record is from RNAcentral. Lineage: Eukaryota; Metazoa; Chordata; Mammalia; Didelphimorphia; Didelphidae.
CAUAAUGCUUGCUUAACAAAUUGGAUUCCUUUCUACAGGGAUUUUUUCUGGAUUCCUCAAGGCUGACCUUUAUGGAGUACCCGUUAUAUCUAACAUGAACAUAUGUGAUGAAAAUCCACAGAAAACUUUAAAAGGUAGAAGCUGACACUACAAUUCUAUCUGAAUGCGUCUAGGCCCUCAAGACUGCCAAGCAAACAUCUCAUGAAAGGUUGGUGAUCACCGUAAUAAAGCCUACU